CGCGGGGGGGGGAGCUAUUAGAAGUAUUCCCCUCUCUAACCCAUACGCCUGGUUUGUUCUGCCCGGUAGGAGGUAUUUUUUCCGGUUCCCCCCGACUUAUUGGGGGGGGCGCAAAACACUUUCUUAGGUGUGUGGGGUGGGGCGAGGCUACGGCCCGGGGGGGGAAAUAAAUUCUGUUGUGCGGUGUCGAAAUACUCGCGAAUCGGACACCCAACAUUUGACCCGCACUCGCCAGAGUGAACGUGAGUUGGAUCUUGGCUCAGGAUGAACGCUGGCGGCGUGCUUUACACAUGCAAGUCGAACGGUGAAGCAGAGCUUGCUCUGUGGAUCAGUGGCGAACGAUGUGAGUAACAGGUGAGCACUCAGGGCCUGACUCUUGGCUAAGCGCUGGAAACGGCGUCUAAUACCGGAUAAGAGCCGCGGCAGCAUGGUCAGUAUGUGGAAAGAAUCUCGGUCAGGGAUGAGCGGGCGGCAUGUCAGCUAGUUGGUGAGGUAAUGGCUGGCCAAGGCGUAUACGGGUAGCCGUCCUGAGAGGGUGACCGGCCACGCUGGGACUGGGUCACGGCCCUGACUCAUAUGGGAGGCAGCAGUGGGGAAUAUUGCAGAAGGGGCGAAAGCGUGAUGCAGCAAUGCCGCGUGAGGGAUGACGGCAUUGGGGUAGUAAACCUCUUUUAGCAGGGAAGAAGAGAAGGUGAUGGCACAUGCAGAAAAAGCGCCGGGUAAGUAGUGUGCCAGCGGCCGCGGUAAUACGUGGGGGCGCAACAGUUAUUCGCAAUUAUUGGUCGUAAAGAGCUCGAGGACGGUCUGUCGCCUUGGGUGUUAAAACCCGAGUCUCAGCCUCGGGCCUGCAGUCGGGAAAGUCCGCCUACAUUGCCGUAGGGGAGAAUGGAAUUCCUGGAGUAGCGGUGAAAUGGGCAGAUAUCGGGAGGAACACCGGUGGCGGAGGCCGUCCUCUGGGCCCUUCCGCUUCUGGAUGCGAAGCCGCGCCCCCCAAAAAGGG
RNAcentral lists this ribosomal RNA (1000 nucleotides) under Microbacterium arborescens. RNAcentral describes it as "bacterial SSU rRNA". The stretch from base 237 to 1000 matches the Rfam family "Bacterial small subunit ribosomal RNA", at positions 1 to 777 of the family's 1533-position model. Lineage: Bacteria; Bacillati; Actinomycetota; Actinomycetes; Micrococcales; Microbacteriaceae. The record is from RNAcentral.